RNAcentral lists this ribosomal RNA (255 nucleotides) under uncultured bacterium. RNAcentral describes it as "partial 16S ribosomal RNA". It matches the Rfam family "Bacterial small subunit ribosomal RNA", at positions 524 to 777 of the family's 1533-position model. The record is from RNAcentral.
UACGUAGGAGGCAAGCGUUGUCCGGAAUCACUGGGCGUAAAGCGCGUGUAGGUGGAGCAGGAAGUCUGCUGUGAAAGCGCCUGGCUUAACCGGGCGAGGUCGGUGGAAACUCCUGUCUGAGAGGCCGGGUAGAGGGGGUGGAAUUCCGGGUGUAGUGGUGAAAUGCGUAGAGAUCCGGAGGAACACCCGUGGCGAAGGCGGCCCCCUGGGCCGCGCCCUGACGCUGAGACGCGAAAGCGCGGGGAGCGAAACGGG